Molecule: ribosomal RNA, 1434 nt
Filed under: uncultured organism
Description: SSU rRNA
Rfam family: Bacterial small subunit ribosomal RNA
Source: RNAcentral
GCUAGCUACAGGCUUAACACAUGCAAGUCGAGGGGCAGCAUGGUCUUAGCUUGCUAAGGCCGAUGGCGACCGGCGCACGGGUGAGUAACACGUAUCCAACCUGCCGUCUACUCUUGGACAGCCUUCUGAAAGGAAGAUUAAUACAAGAUGGCAUCAUGAGUCCGCAUGUUCACAUGAUUAAAGGUAUUCCGGUAGACGAUGGGGAUGCGUUCCAUUAGAUAGUAGGCGGGGUAACGGCCCACCUAGUCUUCGAUGGAUAGGGGUUCUGAGAGGAAGGUCCCCCACAUUGGAACUGAGACACGGUCCAAACUCCUACGGGAGGCAGCAGUGAGGAAUAUUGGUCAAUGGGCGAGAGCCUGAACCAGCCAAGUAGCGUGAAGGAUGACUGCCCUAUGGGUUGUAAACUUCUUUUAUAAAGGAAUAAAGUCGGGUAUGGAUACCCGUUUGCAUGUACUUUAUGAAUAAGGAUCGGCUAACUCCGUGCCAGCAGCCGCGGUAAUACGGAGGAUCCGAGCGUUAUCCGGAUUUAUUGGGUUUAAAGGGAGCGUAGAUGGAUGUUUAAGUCAGUUGUGAAAGUUUGCGGCUCAACCGUAAAAUUGCAGUUGAUACUGGAUAUCUUGAGUGCAGUUGAGGCAGGCGGAAUUCGUGGUGUAGCGGUGAAAUGCUUAGAUAUCACGAAGAACUCCGAUUGCGAAGGCAGCCUGCUAAGCUGCAACUGACAUUGAGGCUCGAAAGUGCGGGUAUCAAACAGGAUUAGAUACCCUGGUAGUCCACACGGUAAACGAUGAAUACUCGCUGUUUGCGAUAUACUGCAAGCGGCCAAGCGAAAGCGUUAAGUAUUCCACCUGGGGAGUACGCCGGCAACGGUGAAACUCAAAGGAAUUGACGGGGGCCCGCACAAGCGGAGGAACAUGUGGUUUAAUUCGAUGAUACGCGAGGAACCUUACCCGGGCUUAAAUUGCAGAUGAAUUACGGUGAAAGCCGUAAGCCGCAAGGCAUCUGUGAAGGUGCUGCAUGGUUGUCGUCAGCUCGGGCCGUGAGGUGUCGGCUUAAGUGCCAUAACGAGCGCAACCCUUGUUGUCAGUUACUAACAGGUUCCGCUGAGGACUCUGACAAGACUGCCAUCGUAAGAUGUGAGGAAGGUGGGGAUGACGUCAAAUCAGCACGGCCCUUACGUCCGGGACUACACACGUGUUACAAUGGGGGGUACGGAGGGCCGCUACCACGCGAGUGGAUGCCAAUCCCCAAAACCUCUCUCAGUUCGGACUGGAGUCUGCAACCCGACUCCACGAAGCUGGAUUCGCUAGUAAUCGCGCAUCAGCCACGGCGCGGUGAAUACGUUCCCGGGCCUUGUACACACCGCCCGUCAAGCCAUGGGAGCCGGGGGUACCUGAAGUGCGUAACCGCGAGGAGCGCCCUAGGGUAAAACUGGAG